UCAGCCCCAGAAUUCCAGAAAACCAAGCUCAUGACACGCUUAACCUACACUCUUGAUGAGAUUGAGGGACCAUUCGAAGUGUCUCCUGACGGCACUGUUAAGUUUGAGGAGAAGGAUGGAAUUGAUUAUGCUGCUGUUACAGUUCAGCUUCCUGGUGGUGAGCGUGUGCCCUUCCUCUUCACUAUCAAGCAGCUAGUGGCAAGCGGCAAACCAGAAAACUUUAGUGGUGAGUUCCUUGUGCCAUCAUACAGAGGUUCAUCCUUCCUUGACCCA
RNAcentral lists this long non-coding RNA (273 nucleotides) under Capsicum annuum. Its description in RNAcentral is "long non-coding RNA (CANN_LNC002968)". Lineage: Eukaryota; Viridiplantae; Streptophyta; Magnoliopsida; Solanales; Solanaceae. The record is from RNAcentral.